GCCCAGGUGGCGAAAUUGGUAGACGCAAGGGACUUAAAAUCCCUCGGUAGAAAUACCGUGCCGGUUCGACUCCGGCCCCGGGCACCA
Molecule: transfer RNA, 87 nt
Filed under: Gammaproteobacteria bacterium
Lineage: Bacteria; Pseudomonadati; Pseudomonadota; Gammaproteobacteria
Description: tRNA-Leu
Rfam family: tRNA
About the family: Transfer RNA (tRNA) molecules are approximately 80 nucleotides in length. Their secondary structure includes four short double-helical elements and three loops (D, anti-codon, and T loops).
Source: RNAcentral